RNAcentral lists this ribosomal RNA (1404 nucleotides) under Moraxella sp. RNAcentral describes it as "bacterial SSU rRNA". It matches the Rfam family "Bacterial small subunit ribosomal RNA". The record is from RNAcentral. Lineage: Bacteria; Pseudomonadati; Pseudomonadota; Gammaproteobacteria; Moraxellales; Moraxellaceae.
ACACAUGCAAGUCGAACGAUGACUCUCUAGCUUGCUAGAGAAGAUUAGUGGCGGACGGGUGAGUAACAUUUAGGAAUCUGCCUAGUAGUGGGGGAUAGCUCGGGGAAACUCGAAUUAAUACCGCAUACGACCUACGGGUGAAAGGGGGCGCAAGCUCUUGCUAUUAGAUGAGCCUAAAUCAGAUUAGCUAGUUGGUGGGGUAAAGGCCCACCAAGGCGACGAUCUGUAACUGGUCUGAGAGGAUGAUCAGUCACACCGGAACUGAGACACGGUCCGGACUCCUACGGGAGGCAGCAGUGGGGAAUAUUGGACAAUGGGGGCAACCCUGAUCCAGCCAUGCCGCGUGUGUGAAGAAGGCCUUUUGGUUGUAAAGCACUUUAAGCAGGGAGGAGAGGCUAAUGGUUAAUACCCAUUAGAUUAGACGUUACCUGCAGAAUAAGCACCGGCUAACUCUGUGCCAGCAGCCGCGGUAAUACAGAGGGUGCGAGCGUUAAUCGGAAUUACUGGGCGUAAAGCGAGUGUAGGUGGCUCAUUAAGUCACAUGUGAAAUCCCCGGGCUUAACCUGGGAACUGCAUGUGAUACUGGUGGUGCUAGAAUAUGUGAGAGGGAAGUAGAAUUCCAGGUGUAGCGGUGAAAUGCGUAGAGAUCUGGAGGAAUACCGAUGGCGAAGGCAGCUUCCUGGCAUAAUAUUGACACUGAGAUUCGAAAGCGUGGGUAGCAAACAGGAUUAGAUACCCUGGUAGUCCACGCCGUAAACGAUGUCUACUAGCCGUUGGGGUCCUUGAGACUUUAGUGGCGCAGUUAACGCGAUAAGUAGACCGCCUGGGGAGUACGGCCGCAAGGUUAAAACUCAAAUGAAUUGACGGGGGCCCGCACAAGCGGUGGAGCAUGUGGUUUAAUUCGAUGCAACGCGAAGAACCUUACCUGGUCUUGACAUAGUGAGAAUCCUGCAGAGAUGCGGGAGUGCCUUCGGGAAUUCACAUACAGGUGCUGCAUGGCUGUCGUCAGCUCGUGUCGUGAGAUGUUGGGUUAAGUCCCGCAACGAGCGCAACCCUUUUCCUUAUUUGCCAGCGGGUUAAGCCGGGAACUUUAAGGAUACUGCCAGUGACAAACUGGAGGAAGGCGGGGACGACGUCAAGUCAUCAUGGCCCUUACGACCAGGGCUACACACGUGCUACAAUGGUAGGUACAGAGGGUUGCUACACAGCGAUGUGAUGCUAAUCUCAAAAAGCCUAUCGUAGUCCGGAUUGGAGUCUGCAACUCGACUCCAUGAAGUCGGAAUCGCUAGUAAUCGCAGAUCAGAAUGCUGCGGUGAAUACGUUCCCGGGCCUUGUACACACCGCCCGUCACACCAUGGGAGUCUAUUGCACCAGAAGUAGGUAGCCUAACGCAAGAGGGCGCUA